CAGUCGCCGCGGUAAUACGUAGGUGGCAAGCGUUGUCCGGAAUUAUUGGGCGUAAAGCGUGCGCAGGCGGUUGUGUAAGACAGGUGUGAAAUCCCCGGGCUUAACCUGGGAACUGCGCUUGUGACUGCACAGCUAGAGUAUGGCAGAGGGGGGUGGAAUUCCACGUGUAGCAGUGAAAUGCGUAGAGAUGUGGAGGAACACCGAUGGCGAAGGCAGCCCCCUGAGCCAAUACUGACGCUCAUGCACGAAAGCGUGGGGAGCAAACAGGAUUAGAUACCCGAGUAGUCCCUGUCUCUUAUAC
RNAcentral lists this ribosomal RNA (301 nucleotides) under uncultured bacterium. Its description in RNAcentral is "partial 16S ribosomal RNA". It matches the Rfam family "Bacterial small subunit ribosomal RNA", at positions 509 to 807 of the family's 1533-position model. The record is from RNAcentral.